This 253-nucleotide ribosomal RNA is filed under the name uncultured bacterium. Its description in RNAcentral is "partial 16S ribosomal RNA". It matches the Rfam family "Bacterial small subunit ribosomal RNA", at positions 524 to 776 of the family's 1533-position model. The record is from RNAcentral.
UACGGGGGGAGCAAGCGUUGUUCGGAUUUACUGGGCGUAAAGGGCGCGUAGGCGGCGUGACUAGUCACUUGUGAAAUCUCCGGGCUUAACUCGGAACGGUCAAGUGAUACUGUCGUGCUAGAGUACAGAAGGGGCAACUGGAAUUCUCGGUGUAGCGGUGAAAUGCGUAGAUAUCGAGAGGAACACCUGCGGCGAAGGCGGGUUGCUGGGCUGAUACUGACGCUGAUGCGCGAAAGCCAGGGGAGCAAACAGG